Long non-coding RNA from Carassius gibelio (silver crucian carp), 3481 nucleotides. RefSeq lists it as uncharacterized. The record is from RefSeq and is a predicted model, not a curated record. NCBI's taxonomy places the organism in Eukaryota, Metazoa, Chordata, Actinopteri, Cypriniformes, Cyprinidae. The transcript is spliced from 2 exons.
ACCUGGGGUUACGUUUGUUUUCUUCUAAAAGAGAAGAAAAGUAAUCAGAUCUAGCAGUUUUUAAUGCUUUUCUGUAGGAUAUGUUACUUUCCCGCCAAGCAAUACAAAAUACCUCUAGUUUUGUUUUCCUCCAGCUGCGCUCCAUUUUUCGAGCUGCUCUCUUUAGGGUGCGAGUAUGCUCAUUAUACCAUGGUGUCAAACUGUUUUCCUUAACCUUCCUUAAGCGUAAAAGAGCAACUGUAUUUAAAGUGCUAGAAAAGAGAGAGUCCAUAGUUUCUGUUACAUCAUCAAGUUGUUCUGAGGUUUUGGAUAUGCUAAUGAAUUUGGAUACAUCAGGAAGAUAACUUAAAAAGCAGUCUUUUGUGGUAGAAGUGAUGGUUCUUCCAUACUUGUAACAAGAAGUAGAAUUUACAAUUUUGGCUAUAUGAAGUUUGCACAGAACUAAAUAAUGAUCUGAGAUAUCAUCACUUGGCUGAAUAAUUUCAACACUAUCAACAUCAAUUCCAUGUGACAGUAUUAAAUCUAGAGUAUGAUUUCGACAAUGAGUAGGUCCUGAAACGUGUUGUCUAACCCCAAUAGAGUUCAGAAUGUCUAUAAAUGCUGAUCCCAAUGCAUCUUUUUCAUUAUCGACAUGGAUAUUAAAAUCACCAACUAUUAAAACUUUAUCUGCAGCCAGAACUAACUCGGAUGUAAAAUCACCAAACUCUUUAAUAAAGUCUGUUUGGUGCCCUGGUGGCCUGUAUACAGUAGCCAGUACAAACAUAACAGGGGAUUUAUCAUUAACACAUUUUUUUUCUCUGGAUAAUGUUAAAUGUAGCACCAUUACUUCAAACGAGUUAUACUUGAAGCCUGCCCUCUGAGAAGUCCUGAAAACGUUGUUAUAAAUUGAAGCAACUCCUCCCCCUUUGCCUUUUAGACGUGGCUCGUGCUUAUAACAGUAAUCUUGGGGGGUGGAUUCAUUUAAAGGGGGGGUGAAAUGCUCGUUUUCACUCAAUAUCCUGUUAAUCUUGAGUACCUGUAGAGUAGUACUGCAUCUUUCAUAACUCCAAAAAGUCUUUAGUUUUAUUAUAUUCAUAAGAGAAAGGUAGUCUGUACCGAUUUUUCCCGGAAAAAUACGACCGGCUGGAGGCGUGACGUGUGGGCGGAGCUAAAGAAUCACGAGCGCCAGUAGGCUUUUGCGUUGAGAGCGUUUGGAAGCUGUGACAUUACCGUGAGGAAAAACACAUCCAAAACAAACCAUGGCUAACAGUCCGAUUCAGCAUAUAUUUAUGAUCCAGAAUCAGAUCCAGAGGCUGAAAUUUAACAAGAGCAGCAUCAGCAAUGACGUCUCUAUGUGGUAUGUACUGAAACUGUAUAUAUUUGCUUAGCGGUUUUGGAAAUUGGCUAAGUUUCACUUUGUCGUCUUUUUUUUUUUUUUUUUUUUUUUUUUAAACUGCACAUGUGGAAAGUGCAAUUUGAUGACAACAUCGUAUGUUGUUUACUUGAUGUGCUUAUGCGCCGAUAGCUAAGUAAACAACACAGAGAUAUUUGAAGCAGUUUUACUCGUGCAGUUUGAUGACAAAAUCGCAUGUUGUUUACUUGAUCUGCUUACACGCCUAUAGCUAAGUUAACAACACAGAGAUAUUUGAAGCAGUUUUAUUCACCGCUUGUGGUUCCAACACACGAUCGUGACCCUUUUUCGUUGGGACUGCAUUAUCCUUAAGAAAUAAACGAUGUGCAAAUCCGGCGUCAAACUGGGCCUUGUUUGUAAAACAAGCAUCUUCGAAAUGCAGGGAACAAACACAAACACUUGCACAACUCCGCUGAUGCUCUGUAAAAAUAAACUCCAUCCACUGGUCCCUUAAUGCUGUUUUUUUUUUUGGUAAUCUGUGCAGGGUUGUCUUGCCCUGCUCUUCCGGCAGAAGUGCCCUUAGGACCCAUAUAAGGAAAUUCCGCUCCAUCUAACGUCACACAGAGCCAUACUCGAAAAAAAACUUUCCGCAACUUGCGACAAACCAGAAGGAGUAUUUUUGGAACAGAAAUACUCCUUCAAACGUACAACUUAAUUUUUGAAACUUUGUCCAUGUUUUGCAUGGGAAUCCAACUCUUUAACAGUGUAAAAAACUCAGUAUGCAUGAAUAGCAUUUACCCCCCCCCCCCCCCUUAAAAUAAUGUAAUCAUCAGGUUUUAGCCAAGUUUCUGUCAAACAGAGCACAUCUAUAUUAUGAUCAGUUGUCAUAUUAUUUACAAAAAGUGUUUUCGUAGAAAUGGAUCUGAUAUUCAAUAAGCCAAGCUUUAUCAUUUGUUUAUCCAUAUUGCAUUUGUUUUUUACUUGUUGAACCUCAAUUAAAUUGUUAACCUUAAAGGAAGACUCCACCGUUUUUUGAAAUCGGGCUUAUUCACAUUAUUUCCUAGAUUUAGAUAGGUGGGCAAAUGCAUUUUUGUGUCAGUGCAUGCAUUGUUUUAGUUUGACUGGGUCGGCGUUAGCUUAGCUUAGCACAAUGAAUGGAAUCCUUUGUUGCCAGCUAGCAUGGCCUGAGUAAAAGUGAUCAAAAAAUUGUAAAAAACCCACCUAAUUACUUCUUGUGGCCUGCAUAUUCACAACGAGUACAAAAAGCAAUCCAGAUUAACACUAGGCGAUUUCCUAGGCAGAUAUUGACUUGGGACUAUAUUCUGGGGAAGCACAGGCGAAGCACUGCUGCUUAGGCGAAGCACUGCUACUUCGGCGCAGAGAUAUCACGCAACACAUGAAAUCCCACGACUUCCGUCAACAUACCGGCGUGAAUAGUAGCUGCCUGGCUAUUUUCCUUACAGUACACGAAUGGCGAUGAACAUGGCUGAUUUUGAGAGAGGCGAAGAGGGUGACUUCUCAGACAGUCAAGAACCAGAACCAUACCUAUUUGAACCAGAGUUUACAGAAGACGAGCUGCGUGCUUUGGAAAUAGAAUGACAGGAGGAGGAGGUUGCGAUCGCUCAACAGCCUGAGGACGUGAGGAUGAGAGCCAACAUGAACUGGUGGUGUGAAUGUGGGGGAAUAUGCCAAUCUAUGCCGACGGAAAUAGAGUGUCUGUGCUGUAGAGAGUGGGACAUGUUUUUGCCAUUGAUGACCAGGCUCAACACGUCAGAUCAAGAUGAGCGUGCCCGAAGUUGUGUCACAUCUACAGAGGAUUUCACGGCGCUGAUCCAUUCUGCAGUACUCGAUUUUUUUUUUCGGUGUGACAAAGGGAACUGGAAAAAACGCCCCACGCCGAAUGGACCAAAUGGACAGCUGUCCACAGAGCAAUUUAGGUUGGUGGCUUAUCGUGUUGUGCUGGAGUGCGCCUUGAAGGGAGAGACAUUGGGCAGAGGAAAUCGAACACCAUUGCCAUCAUGUGUGGUCGUUGCUAUUCGUAAAAAAUAUCCAUAAGAGUCUGGUAUAUAUAUUGGCUUUCAAGACGCACAGGAGGCAAUAAAUAUGCUGUAACUGAUUUCAUAAAUAAUAAAGUCUUUGCAAAUCCUGUCA